AGCGAACGUUGGCGGCAGGCUUAACACAUGCAAGUCGAACGGUCCUUCGGGAUAGUGGCGGACGGGUGAGUAACACGUGGGAACGUACCCUUAGGUUCGGAACAACACAGGGAAACUUGUGCUAAUACCGGAUAAGCCCUUCGGGGGAAAGAUUUAUCGCCUUUGGAGCGGCCCGCGUCUGAUUAGCUUGUUGGUGAGGUAAUGGCUCACCAAGGCUACGAUCAGUAGCUGGUCUGAGAGGAUGGCCAGCCACACUGGGACUGAGACACGGCCCAGACUCCUACGGGAGGCAGCAGUGGGGAAUCUUGCGCAAUGGGCGAAAGCCUGACGCAGCCAUGCCGCGUGGAUGAUGAAGGUCUUAGGAUUGUAAAAUCCUUUCACCGGGGACGAUAAUGACGGUACCCGGAGAAGAAGCCCCGGCUAACUUCGUGCCAGCAGCCGCGGUAA
RNAcentral lists this ribosomal RNA (447 nucleotides) under uncultured bacterium. Its description in RNAcentral is "partial 16S ribosomal RNA". It matches the Rfam family "Bacterial small subunit ribosomal RNA", at positions 29 to 523 of the family's 1533-position model. The record is from RNAcentral.